UAUGUAUGUGUGCCUGUCUGUUUGUAUGUAUGUGUCAAAGAUACAUACAUACAAACAGACAGGCACACAUACAUACA
Non-coding RNA from Pelobates cultripes (western spadefoot toad), 77 nucleotides. The record is from the annotation of a GenBank genome assembly. Lineage: Eukaryota; Metazoa; Chordata; Amphibia; Anura; Pelobatidae.